This 26-nucleotide unclassified non-coding RNA is filed under the name Chlamydomonas reinhardtii. RNAcentral describes it as "small RNA Cre_2478". The record is from RNAcentral. Lineage: Eukaryota; Viridiplantae; Chlorophyta; Chlorophyceae; Chlamydomonadales; Chlamydomonadaceae.
UCACGCGGUACCUGCAUUGGACCGGC